CCUGGGGCCGGGCCGAGCGGAACCAGGAAUCGCAGAAACGGUCAGCGCCCAGGGCUCUAGGCCGGCCGCCCCGGGUGCCAGGUGAAUUCCUUUCCCUGACCGGCUGUGAGACGUUGGCCCGUCAGCCGUCGUCUUUGGCCUGAGUGUGCACAUCUGUAAAAUGGAAGCUCGGACUAGUGAUCCGUGAGGACCUUCCACGUCUGACGUGUGAUCUCGAGAGACCUGCGUACAUUCGGGGUGCCAGAAGGAAAGCAUAGAGAUGGGGUCUUGCUGUGUUGCCCAGACUGGUCUCAAACUCCUGGCCUCAAGUGAUCCUUCUGCCUCAGCUUCCCAAAGUACUGGGAUUACAG
Molecule: long non-coding RNA, 350 nt
Filed under: Homo sapiens (human)
Lineage: Eukaryota; Metazoa; Chordata; Mammalia; Primates; Hominidae
Description: non-protein coding lnc-ZFAND4-1:2
Source: RNAcentral